Alexandromys fortis (reed vole) is the source of this 3691-nucleotide long non-coding RNA. RefSeq lists it as uncharacterized. Lineage: Eukaryota; Metazoa; Chordata; Mammalia; Rodentia; Cricetidae. The transcript is spliced from 3 exons. The record is from RefSeq and is a predicted model, not a curated record.
GUGAGCUGUGGGGACUUGAGCAUUUAUUUGAUCUUAUUCGGAUUCUGCACUUUGAGCGUAUGUGUGCAGGGAGGGCCACAGAACUGAACAACCUCAAACCAACCUCUUCUGCUAUUGCCACCUAAAAUAACUUCAGAGCUGAGCCAGGCCCCCUUGCCAGGCUGACCACAUCUGGCUCAGAGGUAGUCUUGUGUGUUCUCUGCUGCACCCCAGCCUGCCUCCCUUGGUACAGCAAGGGGCUGUGGGAACUUAGCCAUUUUCCAGUCCAGCAGCAGCGUUUUCUUUCAUUGGCUUUCCUUGGUCGUGGUCAGAGGAGGUAACGUUCUACUGCUAGCCCUGGAGUCUUUCCAGGGGGCCACUUGUCCAAACACACUUUUCCUUUAGCCUCAGCGAAAUCAUCAGGUGGCGUUCUGACAGUCUCGUGGUGCUGUUUCUAGAAGUUCAGUCCAUUCCAAAUACUUUCUGGUUCAGGGCACUGACUCAUGAUAAUUCUGACUUUGUCUUAUGGUGUGAUCUUUGUAGAUGCCACUGCCACAUCUCAAUGCCAAAAGGGUCCAGCCCUGUGAGAGCUGAAUCUUUCCUGUCAUCGGCUGAUGUCCACACACCUUCAUCAUCCUGUGCUAGUUUCUGUGCCUACAACUGAGUUCAGAAGGAUUGCAAUGCUGAGCUUGGAAGCACUGAAGAGAGACUGGCCAGGGGUUGGAAGGAGUUACUUUGGAGAGACAGAAGAAAGUCCUCUGGUCCACGACCCCUGCUUCCGGGAACCAUUACAGCCUCAUCGCUUGACGGCACCAGUAAUCCAUCAGCUCUGAGCGCGCACGAGCUUCAGAGAGGCUGACUCAUCCCAGCCCCAUUGGACAGAACUGGAGGCUGCAGCCUAGUUUCAGGAGGAGCAUCCUGAGGUUGGGUGAGUUUUUCAAAGUAGGCCUGGGAUAAAGGCAAGGCUUUUGUGAUUAAUCUCCACAUGUGAAGCAAGCGAUGGACCCGGCCUCUCCACAAGUCACCGCCGCAGCCAGAGAUUCUUAGUUCUAAAGAGAAUCUGAGAUGCAAAUCCCAUCAGGAGCAUUUGCUGUCAGAAGUGUGACCUCAUCCUCUUGGCCUCCUUCUAAUGUCUUUAAGUCUGGAAUCCCUGGCAAUGAGGCAGAUUUCAGACAUUGACAUACAAAGCAUCCAGAAGGCUUCAGACCACGGCAUGUAUGUCUAGUGGAAGGAUUAGAAUGCUGUUCCACUAGGGAGCAAUAGGAGACUCACAGUCCCAAGCCUCUUCCGUAGGCUGGAACACUAAGAACUCCCAGGACUAGGGCCUCAGAUAAAGCAGGUGCAUUGAACCCUAUGAAACUGGCAAUAGCCAACUAUGUCACUUACGAAAAUGGCUGCUUUGUGUGGUUUGUCUAAUGCGCCUUUUCAUUAUCUUUUCUCUCCCUCCCCCUCCUCUUUCUUUGUGAGAGUCUUGAACUCCUAAUUCUUCUACCUCUACCUUCUGAGUGAUAGAAUAACAGCUGUGCACACCACACCUGGAUUAUAUGGUCCUGGGAAUCAAAGACGGGGGUCUGUGCUUGUGAGGCAAGCACUUUCCAUAUUGAACUCCUGCCCCAGCCCUUGAUCACAGGGACAAGGGACCCCACAUGGGGUUUAGAAUCAAGUCCUACUCAUCAUCCCAGGUGUAGCUGAUUAGUAACAUUUAUUUGUGUCACCAUCAGCAACAUCUCAGAUAGAAGCAAUGUAAGAGAGGAAGGGUUUGUCUGGUGGAAGUCACAGAGAGAUUUCAGUCUAUCGUGGUGGGGUAGCCUGGCUCUGUCCUGAUGGCACAGUAUGUUCCCAUAGAACAGAUCAGGAAGUAGAGAGAGAAGCCUGUAACCAGAGACUAGGGCAAACCUUCAAAGGCCACCGCUUGGUGAUAUAAUCCUGUCCUCCCUCUACAGCUUUCAAAAUAGCAUCCCACGGUGGUGAGCGAGUGUUCUAAAGGUGAGCCUGGGAGGACGUGUCGGGAGGACGUGCCUGGGACGACGUGUCUCAUUCAACCAUAAGCCAGUUUUAAGCCCUCGUGGUUUCUCCAGUCACAGUCAGUCUGUCGUCUCCUGGAGUUUAGAUGACAGUUUCUUAAUGAUAUUUAAUUAUUACUGUUUCUGUUCACAAAGGGCCUGAAAGAGCUGAGCUCUCUGGAGAUGGCUUCUGCCUUCACUUGUGCACGCCCCAGCUGCCCUCCCAGGGUUAGGACGCUUGUUGCUUGUUGUUUGGCUGUCUAAUCUUGACGUGUUUACCGACAAAACAAUAGCAGCAGCCACCACACCCGUUUCAGAAUUUAUGAUGGAACUUUUUAUUUUUUGCUUAACGAGACUUUACAAAAUAGCUCAGAAGUUGAUCUUGUAUAUAGUAUUAAAAAUACUGACUGUCUUUUCAAUCUUCUGAACUACUUAGCAUUUACAUGAUAACCUGUUUUUUGUGUUGGUGUGAAUUCAAGUGUCUCGUGUGCGUGUGUGCUUGUAUGUGUGUGUGUAUGUGUGCAUGUGUGCACACACAUGUGUAGAGGUCAGAGGUCAACUUCCAUUGCAGUUCUUCCGUCACUGUCCACCUUAGUUUUUGAGACAGGCAGGUCUCAGACUGUCCUGGACUCACCAGCUAGGCUGGCUGGUCAGCAAGCCCCAGAGAUCUGCCUGUCUCUGUCCCCCAGUGCUGGAACAAGUAGCAUGUACAGCAUGCCUGGCCUCUGUGACAUGAGUCUCGGAUAUUAAAUCCAGGCUAUUGCCAGUAAGGUGAGCACGGUACCGUGGACUGAGGUCCUCAGCCCCGAAGGGAUCUUCAGAGCAGAUGACUGGUUCUCCUCUUCUCACACUGAAGUUAUCUAAAGUUUAUCCUGCUGUGACCCCAGGGAUGUGUGACAAUGAGGAGCACCACAUGGGAGCACAGAGAGCAUCUGUGACCUAAACACAUGCCGCUCAGCAGUACCAGUGCCUGCUGUACUUGGUAGGAAACGGAGGACCCAGGAAGCUUCAAGCGCACACGUGGAGGAGCACAGCUCACCGUUCUCUUUACUGUGUGCCUAGCUACAGCUGGCAUCUCUGAGGCUCCUCCAGCUGAGUGGAGCACCAAGCCUACCCAUCCCUCAACUGCCCGUUUCGUUUCCACCUCCACGAGGAUUUCAAGCCUUCCGUGUCUUCUUUGCUUGUUCCACCAAAGCUGCAGGGACUGCACUCCUGAUUGCAUGGUUGCCCUGCCGAAAACCCUCGCAUAAGGCAUGCAAACCGUUGCCGCUCAUGUUCUAGAACCCUGGCUCACCGUUUCUGCGCCUCUUGCAGCCUGUCCUUUUGGCUCCUCUUGCUCUGUUUGUCCUUUUGUUCCUUCUGAGUGGUAAUGUUGGAUUAGCUCUGUCCUUCACCCAGCUGGGCUGGGUCACACGGCCCUGCCUGGUUCUCACGGCACACAAUUUAGCAGAGGAUAGGGCGAGAUUUCCCUAGCAGUUGUUUCUCUCAGUUUCAGACCAAGUGUGUGUUCUUGGAGCAGCCUCCUUUACCUGCUUAUAUGAUGUUAAAUGUGGUUUGCAGGUCGGUGGUCUGUGUCUAGUCAAUCAUUGGCUUAUUGGCUUCUUUGGAUUAGAAAUCGAUAAAGAUUAACCUCAGUCUCUCUCUCUCUCUCUCUCUCUCUCUCUCUCUCUCUCUCUCUCUCUCUCUCUCUGUGUGUGUGAACUUGCACU